AUUGAACGCUGGCGGCAGGCCUAACACAUGCAAGUCGAGCGGAUGACAGGAGCUUGCUCCUGGAUUCAGCGGCGGACGGGUGAGUAAUGCCUAGGAAUCUGCCUAUUAGUUGGGGACAACGUUUCGAAAGGAACGCUAAUACCGCAUACGUCCUACGGGAGAAAGCAGGGGACCUUCGGGCCUUGCGCUAAUAGAUGAGCCUAGGUCGGAUUAGCUAGUUGGUGGGGUAAUGGCUCACCAAGGCGACGAUCCGUAACUGGUCUGAGAGGAUGAUCAGUCACACUGGAACUGAGACACGGUCCAGACUCCUACGGGAGGCUG
Molecule: ribosomal RNA, 321 nt
Filed under: uncultured Pseudomonadota bacterium
Lineage: Bacteria; Pseudomonadati; Pseudomonadota
Description: bacterial SSU rRNA
Rfam family: Bacterial small subunit ribosomal RNA
Source: RNAcentral